This 465-nucleotide ribosomal RNA is filed under the name uncultured bacterium. Its description in RNAcentral is "partial 16S ribosomal RNA". It matches the Rfam family "Bacterial small subunit ribosomal RNA", at positions 338 to 795 of the family's 1533-position model. The record is from RNAcentral.
CCUACGGGUGGCAGCAGUAGGGAAUCUUCCACAAUGGGCGAAAGCCUGAUGCAGCAACGCCGCGUGGGUGAAGAAGGCCUUCGGAUCGUAAAACCCUGUUGUUAGAGAAGAAAGUGCGUGAGAGUAACUGUUUACGUAUCGACGGUAUCUAACCAGAAAGCCACGGCUAACUACGUGCCAGCAGCCGCGGUAAUACGUAGGUGGCAAGCGUUAUCCGGAUUUAUUGGGCGUAAAGGGAACGCAGGCGGUCUGUGAAGUCUGAUGUGAAAGCCUUCGGCUUAACCGGAGAAGUGCAUUUGAAACUGGGAGACUUGAGUGCAGAAGAGGGGGGUGGAACUCCAGGUGUAGCGGUGAAAUGCGUAGAUAUAUGGAAGAACACCGGUGGCGAAGGCGGCUCUCUGGUCUGUAACUGACGCUGAGGUUCGAAAGCGUGGGUAGCAAACAGGAUUAGAUACCCUUGUAGUC